Molecule: non-coding RNA, 126 nt
Organism: Zea mays
Lineage: Eukaryota; Viridiplantae; Streptophyta; Magnoliopsida; Poales; Poaceae
Source: Rfam
UCUGAGUGGAAUGUUGUCUGGUUCAAGGUCUUGCUUUCCGAUUUGAGGAUGAUCCAUGCUUGCAUGUGUAGUUUUUUUUGUUCCUCAGAUCUACAAGAUCUCGGACCAGGCUUCAUUCCCCUCAGG